RNAcentral lists this long non-coding RNA (6218 nucleotides) under Sus scrofa (pig). RNAcentral's name for it is "lncRNA (ENSSSCG00000057642.1)". Lineage: Eukaryota; Metazoa; Chordata; Mammalia; Artiodactyla; Suidae. The record is from RNAcentral.
GCAACUAGAACAGUAACCUUGGCCUGGCAGCCCCUGCCCUCAAUUUUUCUUUCCCUUCAUUCACUCAGACAUCUCUGCCUUUUCUUUUUCAAAUACCUUCUUGCUUUCCACAAGAUAAAAGAAUUAAAGCUUGUUUCAUGAAGCCAGAAAUGAGUUAACUUUAGAAUUUGGUAUUCUACGAUGGUUGACAUUUUUAAAUGUGGUUUUUUUGAAUGUCCACCUCUCCAUUUCUGAACAGAUACAGGUUGCAUGUUUUCAAAAAAAGUCAAUUAAAAUCAUACUCCUUUCUGUUUAUCAUUUUGGAAAACCUGGGAAUUCCUUUGAGGAAACCUUUCUGUGAAACUCAGGUCAAGGGUCCCUAUUCUAAGGUCUACUUGAGCUGGCGGCCCCUGAUCCCACUUCUCUGGGCUGCCCUGCUGCACGGAAGGUGAGUGACAAUGGAGUCAAGCAUCCAGGACAAAAGAGGCACCUUAGUCCUGAUGCUGUUUUUCUCCCAGGUAAAAUGAGAAAUCCUCCCCUCUCCCGGAAGCACUGUCCUCUCUGAACAUGACAUUAACUUCCACAAACGAGCCUGAUGGUAAAAGGGGUGAUUAGCUAGAUAGGCCUUAACAGCUGGGCUCCAGGAGCUGGCAGCGGGCUGGGGGAGGGGCACUAUCAGGCACUGGGUCCUGUAGUUCUAUCAACAGCAGCGGCAGCAGCAGCAGCCAGCAGCCGCAGAUGAAAAGCUUCUAGAGGUGGGGGCAGGGGAGCGCCCAGAUUGUAAACAUCUCUUGCCUGUUGCCUAGAAGCAGUGGCAGCAAACAAUCCAAAGACUGCUCCUAGAUUUUCAAAAUUUCCUUUAUACGCAGGGCUCUGUUUCUUUUUAAAAUAUGCGGCCAUUUUAGAAGGUCAUCAGCCCACAUGUGAUGCUGUGCGUCUAUUUUGUCUAUUUUAAUAAUUUUCUAGCCACCACAUGGAGUUGCUUGCCUAGAGUGGUCAAUUAUUUAACGAAACCUUAUUAUACAUUAAUUCUGGGACUUUUUUAAGCCGUUUAAUGACUUGUGUAUACUAAGCACUCAUAUUUAUAAGAAUCAAUGGAAAUUUAAAAAUAUACUGCUUGGUUUAUAGGGAAAAUUUGAUAAUUUCUGACAGUUCUGAAACGAGCAGUGAUGAAGGGCGGGAGUCGUGUAUUAUACAUUGGUUGAAAAUGUGAUAACAGCAAUGUUAUAAGAUGUCCUGCAGAAAUGAACUAGGAAAUAGCGCCCAGACACACACAUACACAUAUACACAGCAAGAAAAGGGCAGGGAGGGAACAGUGGAAGAUUUUAAUUAACUACGCAUAGGACAGGAUUACAUCAAGUGGAGGAAAUAGGGCUGGAUCUGGUGCAAAGCUGCUUUCUAAUUUAAUGUGUACAUCAAACUGAAAAGGAAGGAAAGAAUGCCAGGUUCACAAUUAAAUAAUGUUUAGAACUCAAAGGAAAGAGACUAUGGAAAGCAGUGACUAAAUCUCAUUAAGUGUAUGAUUUAAUCCCACACUGAAGCUAGAGGUGUUUGGAGACAACAUAGAAAUUUGGGAAGACAGAAAAUAAAAUGCAGCAUAUAAUCAUGAAUUCAGAAAGAGACAGACCACUGAAUUAAGGUCAGGGUAAAUAGCAGGGAAGUGGUUUUUAAAAACACAGCAUCACCCAGAAUGCCAGUCCCACUAAUAAGUGGUAAAUUUGUUUAGCGUUGUACAAGAUCAAAGUGGAAAAGGAGUGACUCGAGAUGAUGCAGCAAAAAAGGGCUCCCAACCCUUUUCCAAGAUGCAAAAAUUUUAAAGAAAUAGAAAAAUAAAUCCUCUAUACUUGGAAAGGAACUCUAAAAGGGCCUUGGAGAGAAAAAGAACCAAAAAAAAUGGUCAAGUUUGAGGACAAACUUCUUUUAUGACAGUAAAAGCAUACAUCCCAGCAAGGCUUCCAUAGGACCAUUAAGGGGACGAGUGGGAAGUCGGUGACGGAUGAGGCUGCCUUUGCUGAGAGCCUAAAUGAAUUCUCUGCCUGCCUGUUUACCAGAGAAGCUGAAGGUCAAGUCCCGGAAAUCAGGAUACAUUUUCUUGAGGGGAAAAGUGAAAUGUUAAAAGGAUUUUAUGAUCACGCAAGAGCAGAUAGUUGGGCAAUUAGAACUAUUAAAAGUUGACAGGUCAUAAGACCCAGAUUAAGUAUGUCAUAGAAAUCAGAGAGAAGUGCAAAGGAAACAGGAAAUGCCUUUAGCAGUGUCUCUUGAUAUCUUGCUGGGAAGGAGACGGAAGGAUCGAUAGAGCUGGAAGCUAUUCUAGGACUAGGUAUUGAAAAGAAAUCCUUGGCCUCCUUAGAAAUCUAGCCCCCAAUCAUCAGAGUCAAAGUUACAAAGCAACUGGUGCCCACUUUCAUUUUGCAUUUUUUGGAAAUACAUAAUCUAGUGAAGAGUUAAUAUUGGCUUUAUGAAUCACAAAUAAUUGGCAUUUUCAUAAUAAUGAGGCAUUGAUAUACUCAACCUUCAACACAGGUGAAAAUAGAGGUCACUUAAUUGGGUCUACAUUUCUUGGGUUAUUUCUCAGAGGGUUUCAUUUGUAAUCUUCAUUAAAUGAAGCGGUAUGAGAGUAAAUCCAGACUAUCCAAAGACUGAAUGCAAUGUGCAUAUAUGAAAUGGAAAGGGAAACCUUUGGAAAUUAUUGUCCAUUGCUGCUUUCAUCAUCAUCAUCACCAUCCAGUUACGAUUAUUAAAUGCAUACCUUGUGCAACACUAUAGCCAGGGAAUGUUUGGGGUGAGGAGUCAUUCUCUCACUGUCCCAGGAACUGAAUUAUUUCUCAAUGAUUCAUCUCAUGUCUUUUGUUGUUGUCCUACCAACUGUCAUGGCGCCAUAUUAUUUUUAAAGGCAACAAAUAAAAAAUACUUUCUGAGGAUGUGCCUACAGUGGACUAGUGCUCCACCCAUCAGUCUCCUGCUGUAUUUCCAAGAACCAAUCAAAAUAACAUAAAUAUUCACAGAACUGGGAUGUUAAACUUGGAAGGACAAGUAGCGUUACUUAAUGGUCAUUGAUGACUGACUUGAAAGCUGCAUUUUCUUUUCCUUUUGUCCUUCCUCUUCUCCCUGUUCCUUUUUCUGUCUGCCUGCAAAUGUUCAUUGGAUCUCCUACACCAGACAGUAAGAUUUAAGAAUAAUAGCAUGCAAACAUGAAUUUCUGCCCUUCAAUGAUUAUCAGAGUAGUGGCAAAAUUGACGGCGGGAUAGGAGCAAAAAAGGGUACAAAACCCAGUAUCUAGAACAAUUUGAGGAAGCACAUACCACAGCCAUAGACUAGUCAAAGGGAGGGUGGGUCACGGAAGGAAACAAGAGGAGUUAACCAAGUGAAGAAAUGAGAAAGGAUGCUGUAAACAUAAAGAGUAUAUUUACAAAGGUUUAGAGAGGAGGCAAUGCAGUGAACUGAGAAAUGAUGUGACAAGUUUUUUCUCUCAUUUCGUAUUUGUACGUUUCUUUCCUACCAAUCCCUACCACUCAAACUACAUUUAUUACUGAAUUUAAUUUCUUAUAUCUUCUUAAGGCGAAAGGAGCAAAAGCAGAAAGUAGAAGUGGAGAGCUGAGUGAUUUAGAAAAAGAACAUCAUAGAAAUGUUCAUAUAUUUCAGAAAUAACAUGCACCUUAGUUUUAACCUCUUUGUUAGUAACCGAGAAGGAUAUACUUCAAAAGUGAAAUUUUCGUGGCUUAUCAAAAAAGUAAGGGUGGUGACACAUGGUUGACUAUCAUUCUCUGCGGAGCUAAAAAAGAGCGGGAAUAGUUCAUGCAAGACACAGGAAAAUCACAUAGCGAGGGCUAGCUAUACCCACAUGGAAUAAGGAGAGCACGGUGGGAAAUAUGGACCAGAGUAAUAGCAUGAAGUUAUGGUUCACAUGGAAGUAAUACUUGCUAAUUUUUCUUAGCAAGCAAUCCCAUUAGAAACUGGUGAAAUCAUUCCUGUAAAUCACUGCCUUCUAGUUUUAAAUCUGUAUUGAGAUUCAAGAUCUGGACACACACCCACUGUUGCUCUUCCUGUGCCUACUACAGAGCUCUGGCCAGGAGACUGGCUUUUCACUGAUCACAUUAACUUCCUUCUUUAUUUACUGCUGGAAUCCACAGUCACUGUACUACUCACAUUCCUUAAUAUUCAUGAAUAGCAGCAAGCAGGACUCUCAGAAGAUGGUAUGAUUUUUAGUCUCCCCUUCCAUCUUCCACAUUUUGCUCAUUAUUGCACUACUUUUCCUAUCACAGUGUCUCAAACCCUGUGUGAAGAGAUACCUCUAAUAAUCAUUUAUGCACAGUUUAUGGUAUGCCAGCUUUACCUGGGUUUUUCUUACUUCAGUCAUCACUAAUUAUAGAAGACAAAUCUUUAUUGUUAAAUGAGAGGAAAGCAAACUGAUUAGAUGAUGGGCAUUUGCCUGGAAGGAAGUAGGGAUAGGAAAGAAGAUGCCAUGGAACUUAUGAGAGGCCCUGUAUCUAUGACAUUAAAAAUAAAAAACACCUAGUACCUCAUUGGCCAUAAUCUUGGAGUGGGGUUCAGGACACAUUGGCCACUAUUGGUUUUAUUGCUGGAUCACAGGGUAGCCAUGUUUGUAAAUCAAACAUGAAAGCAACUUACUUUACUCACCUGACUUAGAAAGUAGGCUCUUCACUGAAAAGAAAAAAUUUUUUUGCAUGCAGGCUAUGCCUUUCUGUGUUCAUUUGUCUGAUUUCAAAGCCAGAAUCAGUUAUACCAAAUAGUAUGAAAGUUUUAAAAAUGAUAUAUCUAAUGAUUAAUUGAUUUGCCAAUAAAAAUAGGGUUUGUGUGUCACUUGAAUUCUCAAGGAGGUAGCAGAGGAGUAAAAUAUAUCAAUUGAUCAAUGCAUAUAUAUGAUUAAGAACACUGAGCUGAUUUCAGCAAAUUGGAGCUCUGGGCCAAGAGCUGCCCUUGACUUCUGGCAAAUCAAUUAAAAUUCAUCUCUAUCUACUUGCCAUUUUUACCUUAAAAAUGGAAACAAAAAUUCUCUCCCUACGCAAACAAUCGCUGAAAUAAAAGAGAUGAACCUUUAAGAUAACUUUGAAGUAAGUACCUGUGACAAAAUUGUUACUUGAAAGCAAUGACACACAUGGAAAGAAGCCCUAGAAGUAUUUGUGAAACAAAUACAAAUUUCUGGAAAUAAUACUUGGAUAAAUUAAAAAAGAAUCUCUUGGCAGGAAUGGAAACCUCAAGUUGAACUGCUAGAGUAAAAGUACUUGAAGCACUGACACAUACUUGCUAUGGUUUCUGAAGGAAAAGGAUCCAUUAUGAGGGACAGCUUUUCAGGGUCGGCAUAUCAUUCCUACCUCCCCCUUAUUGGCAGCCCUGGCUCUCACUGCUACUGAUAAGGCAAGAUUCCAGAAUGAUGCUUUAGUAUCUGUAUGUUGGUUUCUUCAAAAUAAGUUUUUUCAUCACUGUGGUCAUUUUACUAUCUUCCAAAUUUAUAGUUUUUUCAGAGAUAUUGGACCCACUUUAAUUUGACCAAGCAACAACUUAUUUUCAGAUAUUGAAUGAUAUGUACAUUACAAAAAAGAAAUCAUGUGUUCAAAGCCUAUACGUGAUUAAAGUUGAUUUAGAAAUAUUUUCAAAAUAACAAAUUCUCCAUAAUCUGUAGUAUCUGGAUAUAUAUAUUUCUAUUUCAACUUACAGCUCCAGAUGUCAAGUAGUUAUGAAGUGCCUAUGCAAUUUAUAGAUACAUCUAAGAAUUCAAAGAAUAAUAUUAGAAAAGCAAUUCAUAACCAUAUUCUAAGAAAAUAGCUAGGAAUAGUCUGUGAGCAAUGGGAAAAAAAAUCAAGUUGAAUAAGUUUAUUAAUGUGAACCAAAGUUGAUUUUAAAGACCAUUGAUACAGACUUGCUUACACACAAAUACACACACACACACCCCAUUUGGGUUGCAUGCUGUGCUAUUUUAAACUUAAUUCUAAUUUGUAUGUGACAUGGUUGUAAGCAGCUUUGAAAUUAAGCAAAGCAUGGAGUUCCCGUCAUGGAGCAGUGGUUAACGAAUCUGACUAGGAACCAUGAGAUUGCAGGUUCGAUCACUGGCCUUGCUCAGUGUGUUAAGGACCCGGUGUUGCCGUGAGCUGUGGUGUAGGUUGCAGACGUGGCUCGGAUCCUGCAUUGCUAUGGCUCUGGCAUAGGCCAGCGGCUACAGCUCUGAUUCGACCCUUAGGCUGGGAACCUCCAUAUACCAUGGGAGCCGCCCUAGAAAAGGC